AAGAGUGGUUCCCAGGAGAAAGAGAGAAUUCAAGAAAUGGAAGUCUCAGCUCUGUGUGAAGGCAUUGCUUCCAUGAAGCAAGAAUAGGUUAAUCUGAAAAAGGAGCAGAGAGCAGACUGCCACACGCAGCACCUCAUUUGGACAUGUCUGGAGCUUUGGAAGUUUGGCUACCCUAUGCUCUACAAAUGGACCUUGAGAACUUAUUUGGACAUUCUAGCAAGAGAGAGCUCAGCUACUCAUAUACCCUACACUGAAGAAUGGUCCUCCUCUAUUGGGGAAAGUUGUCCUCUGAUGGAGUAUGCAGCUUCAGGAGGGACACCCAUGGAGUGUUGAGGGAGGAGGGGGACACCUCCCUCGCCAACCAGAUCAGCCAAGGCAACCCUGACAAUCAAUGGGGUGACAGAUGUCUCAGCCAGAUUGUCCUCACAUCCUCUUUUUAUUCUUAAAUUGCCUCUAACUGCAAUGCUUUUGAUCCUGGAAAUGGAUUAUGUACUAUGAAAGCCAUGAGAAGAUGCUGAAACAGAGAGGAAUUUGGUUUGCUGUUUGCUUAUUUUUUCCCCCAACAAAAAGCCCAGCUUUCCAGAAGGUCUUUAGAAAAUCAGUUUUUGUUUUAUUCCCCAUGACAAUCUUCUAAAAAG
Long non-coding RNA from Equus caballus (horse), 638 nucleotides. NCBI's taxonomy places the organism in Eukaryota, Metazoa, Chordata, Mammalia, Perissodactyla, Equidae. The record is from Ensembl.